GAUAUGAGUCAAUCUUUGUGGCUUUCUGUGCUCAAAGCUUUAUAAUAGUAUAUUUACUUUUAAACAUGAGUUAUUAUAGCUAGAAUUUUCAGUUCAUGUUUCACAUGCAUUAUUUGUCUUUAUGAUUUUAAUUGUAAUUUAAAAUGUGAAAAUUUUAGUUGUCCUCCAUCAUUCUCCCUGAGGAGUCGAGUUACGGUGACUUUGUAUCUUCUACAAGAGACGCAUAAGAGCAAGUUAAAAAAACUGUCGAGGAAAAUAUGGCAAAGUCCCAAGACUUACAAAAGGAAGCCUAUACCAGACGAGUCCAGAAGAAGUACAGAAACCUUGUGUACAACGUUGGAGAUGAAGUUCUUCUCUUGAACAUGAGGAAACGUGGAAGGAAGGGAGCAAGGUUUGAUCCGGAUUUUUCAGGACCCUACACCAUUCAAGACAUCGCUGGCAAAUGUGUGAGAUUAAAAAACACGGAAGGAGCCACUUUAAAAAAUCACUACAGCAUUGACCAUAUCAAGCCGUACAGAAGAAGCCACCAUGUAAAUAUCAGUGACAAUGAAAAAUACCCAACUCACAGUCAGACAGUGAACAGCAGCACAGACCUGAAGAUGCCCCCCUGCCAUCCUCCUGCUGACCCUCAGUGCCAGCAAAGUCCAGAGGAUACCAGACCCUCUAUUAUUCAUUAUGCACCCAAAACGGCUGACAAAAGUUGUUGCUCCCACAAGGAGUUUAUUUCUGUUCCAGGACCAGAAACGCGUGAACAAGAACUUCCCUCCCGGAAACAAAGCUUAGAAAGUGAAGGUGGCAUAGUGAACAACUCUUUUUGACCCGUUGGUCAUUUGUUGCCAGUUUGGCGUUGCAACUUGAUUGACCGUUGCAUGACUUUGUUUGCAUUUUGCAGUCUUCAACUCAUAUUGGAUGUAAAGAAACAUGCAACAUGCACUGAGCUUGUGGAAGUCUGGAAAUGGAUCUGCCUUAAAGAGGCUAUGGGCUGCAAAGGAUACUGGGCGCUUGGAGUCAGUUGUUGGACCAUACAAGUUAUUUGAUUCCUCUUUUCGAACACUGCAGGGGUCACGGUGGCUUUCUGAUGAGGUCAUUGAUGCAUACCUGCACCGUGUUAUUGAGAGACGAAAGAAUGCUGUACACCUGCUCUGUUCAGUAGUUGCAAGCUCGUUGUUUUCUGGGCAGUUCAGAUGCCUCACCAAGAUGAAGUUCCCAGUUGAAGACAUGUGGCUGUGCCCUGUGAACUUUGGUACACACUGGAUUCUUGUGAUUGUCAACAUUUCUGCACAGAAAAUACUACUCAUAGACCCCAUGGGCACUGAAGGUGUUUAUGACAGGAAAAUUCUGCGCAACCGGAGGAAUUUUCUGAGGAUGAGAGAAGACACCAUGGAGUGGCAGUUACACACUAUGCAACACAACAAGCAACAGGAUUCCAGCAGUUGCGGAGUUUUGCUGUUAAAGUUUGCAGAACAGUACCUUGCUUUUGGAGAGGUCAGUGAGGUGUUAACCACUACAGAAGCAGUUGUGCUGGAGCGAAUGCAGAUAGCUUGCACCCUACUUGAACAUUGAGGGAACGCUGAGGACUACUGCAUUGUUUGCUCUAUGUUAGAUGCUGAUGCUGACCGCAGCAUGAUUGAAAUGGUGCAGUGUGAAUCUUGCCAAAGAUGGGCACAUUUUGCAUGUGCAAAAUAUAAAGAGAGCAACCAAGAAGAUAAAUGCAAAAAAUGUAAGGAAAAUACAUAACAACUUCAAAUAAAAACAGCUGUCUUUUCCCCUCCAUGUCUCUUUGUAUUCUUUGUCAACAUUAGAUGAUUGUGUGCUGGAGGCACGUUUUGAUACCUAAAUAAAUCCAAGCAGGAAGCAUGUUU
RNA transcript from Oreochromis niloticus (Nile tilapia), 1862 nucleotides. RefSeq lists it as uncharacterized. The transcript has 10 exons. Lineage: Eukaryota; Metazoa; Chordata; Actinopteri; Cichliformes; Cichlidae. The record is from RefSeq and is a predicted model, not a curated record.